GGGUACAGGAAAAGCUUGCUUUUCCGCUGACGACCGGCGCACGGGUGCGUAACACGUAUGCAACCUACCUCUUACUGGGGUAUAGCCCAGAGAAAUUUGGAUUAAUCCCCCAUAGUACCAUUAAACCGCAUGGUUUGAUGGUUAAAGAUUACNGUAAGAGAUGGGCAUGCGUCCCAUUAGUUAGUUGGCGAGGUAACGGCUCACCAAGACUCCGAUGGGUAGGGGUUCUGAGAGGAAGAUCCCCCACACUGGUACUGAGACACGGACCAGACUCCUACGGGAGGCAGCAGUGAGGAAUAUUGCGCAAUGGACGAAAGUCUGACGCAGCCAUGCCGCGUGCAGGAUGACGGCGCUACGCGUUGUAAACUGCUUUUAUUUACAAAGAAACCCCAGGACGUGUCCUGGGCUGACGGUAGUAUUUGAAUAAGCACCGGCUAACUCCGUGCCAGCAGCCGCGGUAAUACGGAGGGUGCAAGCGUUAUCCGGAUUUAUUGGGUUUAAAGGGUCCGUAGGCGGACAAUUAA
RNAcentral lists this ribosomal RNA (524 nucleotides) under uncultured bacterium. RNAcentral's name for it is "bacterial SSU rRNA". It matches the Rfam family "Bacterial small subunit ribosomal RNA", at positions 67 to 586 of the family's 1533-position model. The record is from RNAcentral.